RNAcentral lists this ribosomal RNA (468 nucleotides) under uncultured bacterium. Its description in RNAcentral is "partial 16S ribosomal RNA". It matches the Rfam family "Bacterial small subunit ribosomal RNA", at positions 28 to 507 of the family's 1533-position model. The record is from RNAcentral.
GACGAACGCUGGCGGCGUGCUUAACACAUGCAAGUCGAACGGAAAGGCCCUGCUUUUGUGGGGUGCUCGAGUGGCGAACGGGUGAGUAACACGUGAGUAACCUGCCCUUGACUUUGGGAUAACUUCAGGAAACUGGGGCUAAUACCGGAUAGGAGCUCCUGCUGCAUGGUGGGGGUUGGAAAGUUUCGGCGGUUUGGGAUGGACUCGCGGCUUAUCAGCUUGUUGGUGGGGUAGGGGCUUACCAAGGCUUUGACGGGUAGCCGGCCUUGGAGGGUGACCGGCCACAUUGGGCCUGCGAUACGGCCCAGUCUCCUACGGGAGGCAGCAGUCGGGAGUAUUGCACAGUGGGCCGAAGCCUGAUGCAGCAGCGCCGCGUGCGUGAUGACGGCCUUCUGGUUGUAAACCUCUUUCGCCUGUGACGAAGCGUGAGUGACGGUAAUGGGUAAAGAAGCACCGGCUAACUACGUG